Molecule: ribosomal RNA, 785 nt
Filed under: uncultured prokaryote
Description: bacterial SSU rRNA
Rfam family: Bacterial small subunit ribosomal RNA
Source: RNAcentral
GAAAUGCUUNGAUAUCACGAAGAACUCCGAUUGCGAAGGCAGCUUGCUGGACUGUAACUGACGNUGAGGCACGAAAGCGUGGGGAUCAAACAGGAUUAGAUACCCUGGUAGNCCACGCCGUAAACGAUGAAUGCUAGCUGUUAGCGAUAUACUGUUAGCGGCACAGAGAAAUCGUUAAGCAUUCCACCUGGGGAGUACGCCGGCAACGGUGAAACUCAAAGGAAUUGACGGGGGCCCGCACAAGCGGAGGAACAUGUGGUUUAAUUCGAUGAUACGCGAGGAACCUUACCUGGGCUUAAAUUGCAGUGGAAUAACGUGGAAACAUGUUAGCCUUCGGGCCGCUGUGAAGGUGCUGCAUGGUUGUCGUCAGCUCGUGCCGUGAGGUGUCGGCUUAAGUGCCAUAACGAGCGCAACCCUCAUCGAUAGUUACUAACAGGUUAAGCUGAGGACUCUAUCGAGACUGCCGACGUAAGUCGUGAGGAAGGUGGGGAUGACGUCAAAUCAGCACGGCCCUUACGUCCAGGGCUACACACGUGUUACAAUGGGGGGUACAAAGGGCAGCUACCUGGCGACAGGAUGCUAAUCUCAAAAACCUCUCUCAGUUCGGAUUGGAGUCUGCAACCCGACUCCAUGAAGCUGGAUUCGCUAGUAAUCGCGCAUCAGCCACGGCGCGGUGAAUACGUUCCCGGGCCUUGUACACACCGCCCGUCAAGCCAUGGGAGCCGGGGGGACCUGAAGUAUGCAACCGUAAGGAGCGUCCUAGGGUAAAACUGGUGACUGGGGCU